CAAGGAAUUUUCCGCAAUGGGCGCAAGCCUGACGGAGCAACGCCGCGUGGAGGAUGACGGCUCUCGGGUUGUAAACUCCUUUUGUGGGGGACGAUGAUGACGGUACCCCACCAACAAGCCCCGGCUAACUACGUGCCAGCAGCCGCGGUAAUACGUAGGGGGCCAGCGUUGUCCGGACUUACUGGGCGUAAAGCGCGCGCAGGUGGUGGCGGAUGUGCCGUGUGAAAGCUCCGUCAGAUGCGGAGAGGCCACGGUAGACACUGUCACUCGAGGCUCGGAGAGGUCGAUGGAAUUCCGGGUGGAGCGGUGAAAUGCGUAGAGAUCCGGAGGAACACCAGAGGCGAAGGCGGUCGACUGGCCGAGACCUGACACUGAGGCGCGACGGCGUGGGGAGCAAACCGG
Molecule: ribosomal RNA, 402 nt
Filed under: uncultured bacterium
Lineage: Bacteria
Description: bacterial SSU rRNA
Rfam family: Bacterial small subunit ribosomal RNA
Source: RNAcentral